UACGUAGGUGACAAGCGUUGUCCGGAAUUAUUGGGCGUAAAGGGAGCGCAGGCGGUUGGAAUAGUCUGAUGUGAAAGCCCACGGCUUAACCGUGGAAGGUCAUUGGAAACUGUCCAACUUGAAUGCAGAAGAGGUAAGUGGAAUUCCAUGUGUAGCGGUGAAAUGCGUAGAUAUAUGGAGGAACACCAGUGGCGAAGGCGACUUACUGGUCUGUAAUUGACGCUGAGGCUCGAAAGCGUGGGUAGCGAACAGGAUUAGAUACCCU
This 265-nucleotide ribosomal RNA is filed under the name uncultured prokaryote. RNAcentral's name for it is "partial 16S ribosomal RNA". It matches the Rfam family "Bacterial small subunit ribosomal RNA", at positions 524 to 788 of the family's 1533-position model. The record is from RNAcentral.